AUGAAUAACCUGCCAUGGCUCGUAGCUGGUGAUUUCAAUGAGAUUUUACACGCUGAUGAGAAAGACGGUGGCGCUGCACGUACUCAGCGCUGUAUGCAAGUUUUUAACGUCACCUUAAGUGAUUGUGGCUUGGAUGAUCUCGGGUACACGGGCGACAAAUUUUCUUGGCGCCGUGGGCAGAUAAGAGAACGGCUGGAUCGAGCAAUUGGAAAUUUGCAGUGGGCUGAUCUUUUCCCUGGUUUUAGUGUAAGUAAUGAGGAGUUUGAUAAAUCAGACCAUAGGCCAAUUCUUAUUACUACAGAUCAUUUGUCAGACUUGCAGCCGAGGGGGCCGUCUGGACCUAGGAAAUUUGAAGCACGAUGGUUAGCAGAAGAGAGUAUAGAGACGAUUGUUCAAACGGCAUGGGAUACUCAAAAAUCUUUUGGUACAGCAUCAUUAGCUGUGCUUACGGCUGAUGUGCAUCAUGCUUUACACUGUUGGGAUAGGGAGGUUCUUAAGGGACCACGUACUAGACUCAGGGAGUUACAGAAGAAGUUAAACGAGGUUCUCUCGGGUCCCUUAACAGAUGAUGCGGUGGUUAGACAACAUGAACUACACUUGGAAAUUGAGAAGCUACUAGAGCAGGAGGAGCUUUACUAG
This 639-nucleotide ribosomal RNA is filed under the name Triticum aestivum (bread wheat). RNAcentral's name for it is "partial small subunit ribosomal RNA". Lineage: Eukaryota; Viridiplantae; Streptophyta; Magnoliopsida; Poales; Poaceae. The record is from RNAcentral.